GGACAGUAUGGGAGUGAGAAUGUUGGCAUGAGUAGCGAGAUGUGGGUGAGAAUCCCACAGGCCGUAAACCCAAGGUUUCCAGGGGAAGGUUCGUCCGCCCUGGGUUAGUCGGGACCUAAGCUGAGGCCGAAAGGCGUAGGUGAUGGACAACAGGUUGAUAUUCCUGUACUACCGAUAACCGGUUGAGAGAAGGGAUGACACAGUAGGAUAAGCUAAGCACACUGUUGGUUAUGUGUGCCCAAGCAUUGAGGCAGUCAAAGUAGGUAAAUCCGCUUUGAUAAUGCUGGGAUGUGAUGGGGAGCGAAAUUUAGUAGCGAAGUAGCUGAUUUCACACUGUCAAGAAAAGUCUCGAUCGAGGUUAAAGGUACCCGUACCGCAAACCGACACAGGUG
This 392-nucleotide ribosomal RNA is filed under the name Clostridioides difficile. RNAcentral's name for it is "bacterial LSU rRNA". It matches the Rfam family "Bacterial large subunit ribosomal RNA", at positions 1275 to 1665 of the family's 2925-position model. The record is from RNAcentral. Lineage: Bacteria; Bacillati; Bacillota; Clostridia; Peptostreptococcales; Peptostreptococcaceae.